Molecule: ribosomal RNA, 416 nt
Filed under: uncultured delta proteobacterium
Lineage: Bacteria; Deltaproteobacteria
Description: bacterial SSU rRNA
Rfam family: Bacterial small subunit ribosomal RNA
Source: RNAcentral
UCCAGUGGGGGAUAACAGUCCGAAAGGACUGCUAAUAGCCGCAUUCGGUCGGCGAGCUCUUCGGGGCUCGCCGGGAAAGCCGGCCUCUCCAUGGAAGCUGGCGCUGGAGGAAGGGGGCCGCGGCCCAUCAGCUAGUUGGUGAGGUAAUGGCUCACCAAGGCAAAGACGGGUAGCUGGUCUGAGAGGAUGAUCAGCCACACUGGGACUGAGACACGGCCCAGACUCCUACGGGAGGCAGCAGUGGGGAAUAUUGGGCAAUGGGCGCAAGCCUGACCCAGCCACGCCGCGUGAGUGAUGAAGGCCUUCGGGUCGUAAAGCUCUGUGGGGAGGGACGAAAGCCCGUUGGCUAAUAUCCAACGGUUUGACGGUACCUCCUUAGCAAGCACCGGCUAACUCCGUGCCAGCAGCCGCGGUAA